AUUGAAAAAAAAACGUAGCAAGGAUUUUAUCAACAGAAGUACUUUGAACAUAACUAUAUAAAACGAGUUUCAACAAAAAUUUGUACAGUAUCUGUCACAAGCAGAAAUGAAGAUAAUUGCCUUAAUUUUCAUAACAAUUUCCUUGGUUAUGGCCGACAUAACUAGGGAUAGGUUUAAAAUUGUACCCACUCGCAAAAUAACUCACAGAGAACUAAAUAAUCUUGCAUCCUCUGAAGAUGUAAGGAUCGUGGGAGGAAAUGAAGCUGUACCAAACUCCUUACCAUACCAGGUCGCCUUGAGACCAUUUUACGAUGAAUGGACGAGUUUCUGUGGAGGAUCUCUCAUCACCAAGAGAUACGUGCUGACAGCUGCGCAUUGCUUAGAUGGUAGACUUUUGUCGGUAGAAGUAAUUCUGGGGGCACAUAAGUAUCGUGAAAUUGAAUCUACCCAACAAAGGAUCAACACAUCCACGUUCAAAGUACAUGAACAAUUUAACAGUGAAACACUAGAUAAUGAUUUGGGUGUCAUCUAUCUUCCAACGCCAGCAAAAAUUAAUCACUACGUUCAGUUGAUAGCACUGCCCAGUAGAACUGACGUUUCUAAUAGUUUCGCUGGACAUAAGGCAACAGCAAGUGGUUGGGGAGACGAUUAUGAUCCUGCCACCGAUGGCAAAGAAGUAUUGCGAUAUAUCAAUGUCCGUAUUCUCAGAAACGAAGUGUGUAAUGAAACAUUCAAGGAUAUCAUAGAUUCGGUCAUUUGUACUGCAGGAACAGGCAGAAAAGGAGUCUGCUUUGGAGAUUCAGGCGGACCACUUGUGACCAAUAAAAAAUUGGGAAAUGCAAAGAUUAGCUCAGGAUAGGAAAGAGUGGAGUUCAACCAGUCUUACCACUGACGACCUUAAGAUGAUGAAAUUAUACAUACAGUGGAAUAAGCAGAUGUGUCCUUCAACAUACACCAGCAAUAAGAGAUAGUGUGACUUUCGUAAGGAUUAAUGCUCUUCAAGAUCUGAACGUUGGUUGGAACGGACUCACCAUUGCCUUUGAUUUGCUGACUCACGAGCACUUUUUUUUAUAAAGUAUUUUAGGGAUGCUGGUGAAAUUCACUAUACACCAUCAUGUACAAAAUAUACGACAAAUUAGCGUAGUCUUUUAAAAAUUAAAAAUUGGUGUAGCAUCAUUUAUAGGUGAUAAUGAUUGUGAUGCUGGUGAUCCAUCUGGCUUUUCUAGGGUAACAUCAUUUUUAAAUUGG
RNA transcript from Agrilus planipennis (emerald ash borer), 1248 nucleotides. It is a transcript of the gene named brachyurin-like, with no coding region annotated. The transcript is spliced from 7 exons. NCBI's taxonomy places the organism in Eukaryota, Metazoa, Arthropoda, Insecta, Coleoptera, Buprestidae. The record is from RefSeq and is a predicted model, not a curated record.